This 3082-nucleotide long non-coding RNA is filed under the name Vitis vinifera (wine grape). Its description in RNAcentral is "long non-coding RNA (VVIN_LNC003422)". Lineage: Eukaryota; Viridiplantae; Streptophyta; Magnoliopsida; Vitales; Vitaceae. The record is from RNAcentral.
UUAUAUUGGUUAAGUAUAGAAUAGGUACAUAUAUGUAUGUUUUUUAUUGCCUUACUACAGUCAUAUUAUCACCUUGUUUUUCUUGUUUCACCUUAUGCUAAAAGGAGUCAUAUCACGUUGACAUAGCCUUUUGCCUUUGACAACAUUGCCCGCAAUCGUCUUGGCAACAUAGAGCAGAGCAUUCACAUUUAUGGCUUGUAUUUGUGCAGUAUUACCAAAAACUGGCCAAUUACCCUAUCUCUUCAAGUGGUUGUGGCUGCCAUCUUCAGUAUCACUCUGUUUAGCAUUUGCACAUAUUGGCAUUAGGCCUAGAAAUCUCUGUUUCAGAUAUCUGUCAAUGGUUUUAUCAGUUGUAUUUUGUAUGGCAUGAAGUGAGGUUGAACUAUUAAUUUAAAUUCUAACAGUGUCAUUCUCACUAGUAACUAUUCUUACAAUGUCUAGGUCCUUGGAACAUAUUUCAACUGACAUUUCAUUGAAGUUUGUCAAAAACUUCAUUAGGACUUUCAAACAAUUAUGCUCUACGAACUAAUUAACUACACCUUCGUCAACAGACAUUUGGCAUAUGUUACUGCCAAAUUUGUUUUGGUGUGAAAUGCUAGUGGGAGAUAGGAUAAAAGCUCACAACACCAAGACCCCAUGUUCUUUCUUGAGUCUCAGAAUGUUAGGAUUUAGAGAACUUCGUAUUGGCUCCAAUUUAAUGAAAUAAAAUGAUCUGAAAUCAUGAAUUUGUUGAGCUUGGUAUGAUUUCUAUAGGUUUAGCCGAGUUGCACAGCAUAUUUUCUUGAGCCUAACUCUUGAAAGGCUUAUUGGACUUGAACACAACCACUUUAUGAGUUUUAUGAAUGUAUUUUUGCGGUGUAUCAAACCACUUUAGUAAGCAGGUGACAUUUUGUUGGGGUAAAUGUAAUGCCAGUUGGUAAUUUGAUCUGAAGAUAUUAUGGUUUCUAAUGACUGUCAAAAUAUUGUGUGAAUGGCCGAAUACUUUGGCCUUGAGUUUUGUAUAUUAUAUAUAGACUUUACAAGGAUGCUAUACAUGGAAAGCAAAUAAAAGCAAAUAAAUUCCCUCAUGAUUCUAGUCCUAUACAUGUAAAUUAUAAUCUGUCAAAUAAUAUAUGCUAAUUGUACAUAAUAAUAAAUGGAGAAAUAAGGAAACAAUUGUAGGCUAAAAUAAGGAAAGAAGUGUGGGUUAAAAUAAGGAAAGAAGUGUGGACAGCAAAGCUGUCCUUUGACAGCCCCCCUCAAAUUGAUGCAGGUUGAUCAACAAGCAUCAAUUUGUUACUUAGCAAGCAAUGUCGAUGACGAGGGAGAGCCUUGGUGAAGAUAUCAGCAAUUUGUAAGUCAGUGGAAAUAUGUGGAAGAGUGAUAACACGAGCUUCAUAGGCUUCACGGAUAGAGUGACAAUCCACUUCAAUAUGCUUUGUGCGCUCAUGAUAGACAGGAUUGGUCGUGAUUUGAAUAGCACUUGUAUUAUCGGCAUGUAGAGGUGUAGGAUUGGUCUCAGAAAAAUCUAACUCCGCAAGCAAACCUCGAAGCCAAAUGAUUUCAGAACAAGUAAGAGACAUCGCCCAGUACUCAGAUUCCGUAGAUGACUUAGAGACUCUGUCUUGCUUCUUACUUUUCACAAACAUCUUAAACUAAAGCUGGGCUAGAGUCCGAGAGCCCCUAGGGCUAAAUCCGAGAGCCCCUAGGGCUAAAUCAGAGAGCCCCUAGGGCUAAAUCCGAGAGCCCUUAGGGCUAAAUCCGAGAGCCCCUAGGGCUAAAUCCGAGAGCCCCUAGGGCUAAAUCCGAGAGCCCCUAGGGCUAAAUCCGAGAGCCCCUAGGGCUAAAUUCGAGAAAACCCAAAGAAAAACCUAGAAAGCGUGUAAACUCUAGGUUCAAAAUACAAGCUCUGAUACCAUGUCAAAAUAUUGUGUGAAUGGCCUAAUACUUUGGCCUUGAGUUUUGUAUAUUAUAUAUAGACUUUACAAGGAUGCUAUACAUGGAAAGCAAAUAAAAGCAAAUAAAUUCCCUCAUGAUUCUAGUCCUAUACAUGUAAAUUAUAAUCUGUCAAAUAAUAUAUGCUAAUUGUACAGAAUAAUAAAUGGAGAAAUAAGGAAACAAUUGUAGGCUAAAAUAAGGAAAGAAGUGUGGGUUAAAAUAAGGAAAGAAGUGUGGACAGCAAAGCUGUCCUUUGACAUGAUCCAGAUUCUUCCAAUGGCCUAAUUAUUAUAUGUAUUGAUUAGCUUGUGAAAGAAAUAAACUUUUCUAGGAAUAAAAUAUCAGAGCUGUGUUGGGAAGUUGAAUGAGCAUUAGGUGGAGUGGGGGCUGGGGUAUCACAUUUGGCUCUUUUUGGUACCUAAAGAUGGGUGUAGGUGUAUAUUGAAAUAGGCCUUUUACCAACUGUUACAAAUCUAUGGGCUCUCUAGGGGGUUAACCCUUGGUUGCAUAAGUUUGAACUGCAAAAUUGACAGGGUGAGUUUCAGUACUUGCCACCAACUGCUUUCACAUCAGGUUCAUGGAAGCCUCUCUAUUGUCACAUUCCAGUGACCACAGGAUAUGGCUUCAAUUUUUAGAGGAUGACUUAAAGUUGAGAGCCAGAUGCAAAUAAAGAAUUUUCAGAACCUGAUGGAUCAGGCUAGAAUUCUUAAAGCCAACUCCAAAAAGUUGGGAAAGGCUUGCUGCCCUGGUUUGUGCUACUGGGUCCUUUGUUCAAUUGGUUGAAAAUCCAAUUAACAUGAAAUUGGCCCAUGUUCUGACAGUUCAUUCAAGUCAACCACAUGCCUUUUCUCUGUCAUAGUUGUAUACCAACCUGCUUCAGGUCUGGUUUAUGUCAGCUCAGCAGUGGAAAAGAAAAUGUUGGUCCAGCGGUCUUACACCUUAAACUGCCCUGCCAUUGCACCCUUUUUCAUACGAGUGAAGGUGUGGACACUGAAUGGUGUAUUUUCAGUAAUGGGAUUUAAGGACCAGACAUUUGCAUGAGCCUGGCAAGGUCAGCUUGAAGUCUACAAAGAAAAUUUUCAAAUUUGUUGCAAUACUGAAAAUUUUAGAAGUUUGAUGACUAUACUAUUUUAUUUUUCCCCUCAAUUGUCAUCUUAGUUGAAAU